CCUACGGGAGGCAGCAGUGAGGAAUAUUGGUCAAUGGACGAGAGUCUGAACCAGCCAAGUAGCGUGAAGGAUGACUGCCCUAUGGGUUGUAAACUUCUUUUAUAUGGGAAUAAAAUGUUCCACGUGUGGGAUUUUGUAUGUACCAUAUGAAUAAGGAUCGGCUAACUCCGUCCCAGCAGCCGCGGUAAUACGGAGGAUCCGAGCGUUAUCCGGAUUUAUUGGGUUUAAAGGGAGCGUAGGUGGAUUGUUAAGUAAGUUGGGAAAGUUUGCGGCUCAACCGUAAAAUUGCAGUUGAAACUGGCAGUCUUGAGUACAGUAGAGGUGGGCGGAAUGCGUGGUGUAGCGGUGAAAUGCUUAGAUAUCACGAAGAACACCGAUUGCGAAGGCAGCUCACUGGACUGCAACUGACACUGAGGCUCGAAAGUGUGGGUAUCAAACAGGAUUAGAUACCCCUGUAGUC
Molecule: ribosomal RNA, 460 nt
Filed under: uncultured bacterium
Lineage: Bacteria
Description: partial 16S ribosomal RNA
Rfam family: Bacterial small subunit ribosomal RNA
Source: RNAcentral